This 404-nucleotide ribosomal RNA is filed under the name Actinomycetes bacterium. RNAcentral describes it as "Actinobacteria bacterium partial 16S ribosomal RNA". It matches the Rfam family "Bacterial small subunit ribosomal RNA", at positions 355 to 776 of the family's 1533-position model. The record is from RNAcentral. Lineage: Bacteria; Bacillati; Actinomycetota; Actinomycetes.
UGGGGAAUAUUGGACAAGGGGCGCAAGCCUGAUCCAGCCAUGCCGCGUGAGUGAUGAAGGCCCUAGGGUUGUAAAGCUCUUUCACCGGUGAAGAUAAUGACGGUAACCGGAGAAGAAGCCCCGGCUAACUUCGUGCCAGCAGCCGCGGUAAUACGAAGGGGGCUAGCGUUGUUCGGAUUUACUGGGCGUAAAGCGCACGUAGGCGGACUUUUAAGUCAGGGGUGAAAUCCCGGGGCUCAACCCCGGAACUGCCUUUGAUACUGGAAGUCUUGAGUAUGGUAGAGGUGAGUGGAAUUCCGAGUGUAGAGGUGAAAUUCGUAGAUAUUCGGAGGAACACCAGUGGCGAAGGCGGCUCACUGGACCAUUACUGACGCUGAGGUGCGAAAGCGUGGGGAGCAAACAGG